Molecule: ribosomal RNA, 274 nt
Filed under: uncultured bacterium
Lineage: Bacteria
Description: partial 16S ribosomal RNA
Rfam family: Bacterial small subunit ribosomal RNA
Source: RNAcentral
CACACGUGCUACAAUGGCGUAAACAAAGGGAAGCGAGCCUGCGAGGGGAAGCGAAUCCCAAAAAUAACGUCCCAGUUCGGACUGUGGUCUGCAACCCGACCACACGAAGCUGGAAUCGCUAGUAAUCGCGGAUCAGAAUGCCGCGGUGAAUGCGUUCCCGGGUCUUGUACACACCGCCCGUCACACCAUGGAAGUUGGGGGCGCCCGAAGUUGCCUAAGAAAUAAGGUACCUAAGGCGAAACCAAUGACUGGGGUGAAGUCGUAACAAGGUAGC